GAUGAACGCUAGCGGCAGGCUUAAUACAUGCAAGUCGAGGGGCAGCGGGGGUAGCAAUACCUGCCGGCGACCGGCAAACGGGUGCGGAACACGUACAGAACCUUCCUUUAAGUGGGGGAUAGCCCGAAGAAAUUCGGAUUAAUACCCCGUAAUAUUAUGGAGUGGCAUCACUUAAUAAUUAAAGAUUUAUCGCUUAGAGAUGGCUGUGCGGCUGAUUAGGUAGUUGGUGUAGGUAACGGCUCACCAAGCCUUCGAUCAGUAGCUGGUCUGAGAGGAUGAUCAGCCACACUGGGACUGAGACACGGCCCAGACUCCUACGGGAGGCAGCAGUUAGGAAUCUUGGACAAUGGGCGCAAGCCUGAUCCAGCCAUGCCGCGUGAGUGAUGAAGGCCUUAGGGUUGUAAAGCUCUUUCAGCGGGAAGAUAAUGACGGUACCGCAGAAGAAGCCCGGCUAACUUCGUGCCAGCAGCCGCCGUAAG
RNAcentral lists this ribosomal RNA (479 nucleotides) under uncultured bacterium. RNAcentral's name for it is "bacterial SSU rRNA". It matches the Rfam family "Bacterial small subunit ribosomal RNA", at positions 28 to 524 of the family's 1533-position model. The record is from RNAcentral.